RNAcentral lists this ribosomal RNA (728 nucleotides) under uncultured bacterium. Its description in RNAcentral is "bacterial SSU rRNA". It matches the Rfam family "Bacterial small subunit ribosomal RNA", at positions 689 to 1405 of the family's 1533-position model. The record is from RNAcentral.
GGUAGAUAUUCGGGAGGAACAGCCGGGGGCGGAGGGCGGCUUUUCUGGACCCAGUACUGGACGGUGGAGAUGCGAAAAGCGGUGGGGGAGCGAACGGGGAUUGGGAUACCCUGGUAGUCCAGGCCGUAAACGAUGGGUAGUAGGUGUUGCGGGUAACCAGUCCUGCAGUGCCGCAGCUGACGCAUUAAGUACCCCGCCUGAGGAGUACGGCCGCAAGGCUAAAACUCAAAGGAAUUGACGAGGGCCCGCACAAGCGGUGGAGCAUGUGGUUUAAUUCGACGCAACGCGAAGAACCUUGCCUGGGUUUGACAUCCCGAUCAUACAUUAUGGAAACAUAGUGGUCAGUUCGGCUGGAUCGGUGACAGGUGCUGCAUGGCUGUCGUCAGCUCGUGUCGUGAGAUGUUGGGUUAAGUCCCGCAACGAGCGCAACCCUUGUCCUUAGUUGCCAUCAUUUAGUUGGGCACUCUAGGGAGACUGCCGGUGUUAAGCCGGAGGAAGGUGGGGAUGACGUCAAGUCCUCAUGGCCCUUAUAUCCAGGGCUACACACGUGCUACAAUGGCCGGUACAAAGGGCAGCGAUACCGCGAGGUGGAGCUAAUCCCAAAAAGCCGAUCUCAGUUCGGAUUGGAGUCUGCAACUCGACUCCAUGAAGUUGGAAUCGCUAGUAAUCGCUUAUCAGCAAGACGCGGUGAAUACGUUCCCGGGCCUGUACACCCCCCGUCACACCAC